AAUGGUCUAGCAAACAAAGUGCAUCUGAUUUAGGUUCAGGGAUAUAGGUUAAUUCUUGGCCAUUU
This 65-nucleotide transfer RNA is filed under the name Arcuatula senhousia (Asian date mussel). Its description in RNAcentral is "tRNA-Leu". The record is from RNAcentral. Lineage: Eukaryota; Metazoa; Mollusca; Bivalvia; Mytilida; Mytilidae.